Molecule: ribosomal RNA, 465 nt
Filed under: Vreelandella stevensii
Lineage: Bacteria; Pseudomonadati; Pseudomonadota; Gammaproteobacteria; Oceanospirillales; Halomonadaceae
Description: partial 16S ribosomal RNA
Rfam family: Bacterial small subunit ribosomal RNA
Source: RNAcentral
CCUAUGGGUGGCAGCAGUGGGGAAUAUUGGACAAUGGGCGAAAGCCUGAUCCAGCCAUGCCGCGUGUGUGAAGAAGGCCUUCGGGUUGUAAAGCACUUUCAGUGGGGAAGAAAGCCUUGGGGCUAAUACCCUCGAGGAAGGACAUCACCCACAGAAGAAGCACCGGCUAACUCCGUGCCAGCAGCCGCGGUAAUACGGAGGGGGCGAGCGUUAAUCGGAAUUACUGGGCGUAAAGCGCGCGUAGGCGGUCUGAUAAGCCGGUUGUGAAAGCCCCGGGCUCAACCUGGGAACGGCAUCCGGAACUGUCAGGCUAGAGUGCAGGAGAGGAAGGUAGAAUUCCCGGUGUAGCGGUGAAAUGCGUAGAGAUCGGGAGGAAUACCAGUGGCGAAGGCGGCCUUCUGGACUGACACUGACGCUGAGGUGCGAAAGCGUGGGUAGCAAACAGGAUUAGAUACCCCGGUAGUC